RNAcentral lists this ribosomal RNA (1440 nucleotides) under uncultured organism. RNAcentral describes it as "SSU rRNA". It matches the Rfam family "Bacterial small subunit ribosomal RNA". The record is from RNAcentral.
UAUCUACAGGCUUAACACAUGCAAGUCGAGGGGCAUCAGGAAGAAAGCUUGCUUUCUUUGCUGGCGACCGGCGCACGGGUGAGUAACACGUAUCCAACCUGCCCUUUACUCGGGGAUAGCCUUUCGAAAGAAAGAUUAAUACCCGAUGGCAUAAUGAUUCCGCAUGGUUUCAUUAUUAAAGGAUUCCGGUAAAGGAUGGGGAUGCGUUCUAUUAGGUUGUUGGUGAGGUAACGGCUCACCAAGCCUUCGAUGGAUAGGGGUUCUGAGAGGAAGGUCCCCCACAUUGGAACUGAGACACGGUCCAAACUCCUACGGGAGGCAGCAGUGAGGAAUAUUGGUCAAUGGGCGCUAGCCUGAACCAGCCAAGUAGCGUGAAGGAUGAAGGCUCUAUGGGUCGUAAACUUCUUUUAUAUAAGAAUAAAGUGCAGUAUGUAUACUGUUUUGUAUGUAUUAUAUGAAUAAGGAUCGGCUAACUCCGUGCCAGCAGCCGCGGUAAUACGGAGGAUCCGAGCGUUAUCCGGAUUUAUUGGGUUUAAAGGGAGCGUAGGUGGACUGGUAAGUCAGUUGUGAAAGUUUGCGGCUCAACCGUAAAAUUGCAGUUGAUACUGUCAGUCUUGAGUACAGUAGAGGUGGGCGGAAUUCGUGGUGUAGCGGUGAAAUGCUUAGAUAUCACGAAGAACUCCGAUUGCGAAGGCAGCUCACUGGACUGCAACUGACACUGAUGCUCGAAAGUGUGGGUAUCAAACAGGAUUAGAUACCCUGGUAGUCCACACAGUAAACGAUGAAUACUCGCUGUUUGCGAUAUACAGUAAGCGGCCAAGCGAAAGCAUUAAGUAUUCCACCUGGGGAGUACGCCGGCAACGGUGAAACUCAAAGGAAUUGACGGGGGCCCGCACAAGCGGAGGAACAUGUGGUUUAAUUCGAUGAUACGCGAGGAACCUUACCCGGGCUUAAAUUGCAGUGGGAUGAUGUGGAAACAUGUCAGUGAGCAAUCACCGCUGUGAAGGUGCUGCAUGGUUGUCGUCAGCUCGUGCCGUGAGGUGUCGGCUUAAGUGCCAUAACGAGCGCAACCCUUAUCUUUAGUUACUAACAGGUUAUGCUGAGGACUCUAGAGAGACUGCCGUCGUAAGAUGUGAGGAAGGUGGGGAUGACGUCAAAUCAGCACGGCCCUUACGUCCGGGGCUACACACGUGUUACAAUGGGGGGUACAGAAGGCAGCUAGCGGGUGACCGUAUGCUAAUCCCAAAAGCCUCUCUCAGUUCGGAUCGAAGUCUGCAACCCGACUUCGUGAAGCUGGAUUCGCUAGUAAUCGCGCAUCAGCCACGGCGCGGUGAAUACGUUCCCGGGCCUUGUACACACCGCCCGUCAAGCCAUGGGAGCCGGGGGUACCUGAAGUACGUAACCGCAAGGAUCGUCCUAGGGUAAAACUGGUGACUGGGG